Molecule: ribosomal RNA, 476 nt
Filed under: uncultured bacterium
Lineage: Bacteria
Description: partial 16S ribosomal RNA
Rfam family: Bacterial small subunit ribosomal RNA
Source: RNAcentral
AGUGAACGCUGGCGGCGUGCUUAACACAUGCAAGUCGAACGGAUGAAAUAAGCUUGCUUAUUUCGUUAGUGGCGCACGGGUGAGUAAUGUAUAGCUAACCUGCCCUUUAGUGGGGGACAACAGCUGGAAACGACUGCUAAUACCCCAUACUCCUUCUUAUCAUAAGGUAAGUCGGGAAAGAAUUAUUGCUAAAGGAUGGGGCUUUAUUGUAUCAGCUUGUUGGUGGGGUAAUGGCCUACCAAGGCGAUGACGCAUACCUGGUCUGAGAGGAUGAACAGGCAAACUGGAGGUGAGACACGGUCCAGACUCCUUCGGGAGGCAGCAGUGGGGAAUAUUGCACAAUGGGGGAAACACUGAUGCAGCAACGCCGCGUGGAGGAUGACGCAUUUCGGUGUGUAAACUCCUUUUAUAAGGGAAGAUAAUGACGGUACCUUAUGAAUAAGCACCGGCUAACUCCGUGCCAGCCGCCGCCGUAA